AAGGGCAUUCGGUGGAUGCCUUGGCGACAAGAGGCGAUGAAAGACGUGAUACGCUGCGAUAAGCCAUGGGGAGCUGCGAAUAAGCUUUGAUCCGUGGAUUUCUGAAUGGGGCAACCCACUCCGUAUGGAGUACCCUUUAAUGGGAGCAAACCCGGGGAACUGAAACAUCUAAGUACCCGGAGGAAAGGACAUCAAUUGAGACUCCGUUAGUAGUGGCGAGCGAACACGGACCAGGCCAGUGCUCUUUUCGAAUGAACUGGAACCGUCUGGAAAGUCGGGCCGUAGUGGGUGACAGCCCCGUACAGGUGAGUGAGAAAAGAGACUUGAGUAGGGCGGGACACGUGAAAUCCUGUCUGAACAUGGGGGGACCACCCUCCAAGCCUAAGUACUCCUACAUGACCGAUAGUGAACCAGUACCGUGAGGGAAAGGU
Molecule: ribosomal RNA, 431 nt
Filed under: Scrippsiella trochoidea
Lineage: Eukaryota; Dinophyceae; Peridiniales; Peridiniaceae
Description: partial Bacterial large subunit ribosomal RNA
Rfam family: Bacterial large subunit ribosomal RNA
Source: RNAcentral